CGCAUCUGUGCAUGCAGCAUAUCAAUAAGCGGAGGAAAAGAAACUAACAAGGAUUCCCCUAGUAACGGCGAGUGAAGCGGGAAGAGCUCAAAUUUGAAAUCUUAAAGGGUUUCCCUUUACGAAUUGUAGUUUAAAGAAGUGUUUUCUGUUGAGGUUUUGGUAAAAGUUCUUUGGAAUAGGACAUCAUAGAGGGUGAGAAUCCCGUAUUUGACCUUUACUUUCAACUUUGUGAUACACUUUCAAAGAGUCGGAUUGUUUGGGAAUGCAGUCCAAAAUGGGUGGUAAAUUUCAUCUAAAGCUAAAUAUUGGCGAGAGACCGAUAGCGAACAAGUACCGUGAGGGAAAGAUGAAAAGAACUUUGAAAAGAGAGUUAAACAGUACGUGAAAUUGUCAAAAGGGAAGCGUUUGACACCAGUGUUGUUUUUCUGAAAAUCAAUUAAAGAACUGUUUAUGCUAAGUUGUUUAGACUUUAUCAGCUAACUGUUUAGUUUUGAGCUUUUCUUUAAUGCGCUUUUCAGUUAACAAGUCAACAUCAAUUUCUUUUGCUGUAAAAAAGCCUGAGGAAGGUGGCUUGAGAUUCGUCUUAAGUGUUUAUAGCCUCUUGCCUAUGCAGUCGGAGAGAUUGAGGUCUGCAGCGUAGAUCCUUCGGGGCUAAAUGCAUUUGUGCUAAGUUAUAGCAUUUUAUAGACAACUUGUUGACUAUGAUUUGUCUUGUAGCUUACUCGCUUAUGUUAUUUUACCUACGCUUAGGAUGUUGAAGAUGUAGCACAUCAU
Molecule: ribosomal RNA, 774 nt
Filed under: uncultured Neocallimastigales
Lineage: Eukaryota; Fungi; Neocallimastigomycota; Neocallimastigomycetes; Neocallimastigales
Description: partial large subunit ribosomal RNA
Rfam family: Eukaryotic large subunit ribosomal RNA
Source: RNAcentral